RNAcentral lists this small RNA (132 nucleotides) under Escherichia coli. Its description in RNAcentral is "RtT sRNA". It matches the Rfam family "RtT RNA". From Rfam's summary of the family: This family represents a bacterial cis-regulatory element known as RtT RNA. The exact function of RtT is unknown although it is thought that it may be involved in changing the cellular response in relation to amino acid starvation. The record is from RNAcentral. Lineage: Bacteria; Pseudomonadati; Pseudomonadota; Gammaproteobacteria; Enterobacterales; Enterobacteriaceae.
AUUCUGCCCAUGCGGGGAAGGAUGAGAAGCUUCGACUAAGGUUCGACUCGAGCGCCAGCGAGAGAGCGUUGCCGCAGGCAACGACCCGUAGGGCGUAGCGCGCAGCGCUGAGUAAUCCUUCCCCCACCACCA